GUGAAGAACGUAGUGAAAUGCGAUAAGUAGUGUGAAUUGCAGAAUUCAGUGAAUCAUCGAAUCUUUGAACGCACAUUGCGCCUCCUGGUAUUCCGGGAGGCAUGCCUGUUCGAGCGUCAUUAAAAUCACUCAAGCUUAGGUUUACCUAUUGCUUGGUCUUGGAGAUGGAAGCCAAUUUAUUGGAAUCCUCUUCGAAAUUCAAUGGCGAAGACCCUUGCUCUCCCAAGUGUAGUAAUAACUUAUGUCACUGAAGGAAGCGAGAAAUCUUCUGCCGUAACCCCCAUAUUUUCUAUGAUUGACCUCGGAUCAGGUAGGGAUACCCGCUGAACUUAAGCAUAUCAAUAAGCGGAGGA
Molecule: unclassified non-coding RNA, 353 nt
Filed under: soil metagenome
Description: partial contains 5.8S ribosomal RNA, internal transcribed spacer 2, and large subunit ribosomal RNA
Rfam family: 5.8S ribosomal RNA (bases 2-119)
Source: RNAcentral